AUUGAACGCUGGCGGCAUGCUUUACACAUGCAAGUCGAACGGUAACAGGUUAAGCUGACGAGUGGCGAACGGGUGAGUAAUGCAUCGGAACGUGCCCGAUCGUGGGGGAUAACGCAGCGAAAGCUGCGCUAAUACCGCAUACGAUCUGAGGAUGGAAGCGGGGGACCGUAAGGCCUCGCGCGAUCGGAGCGGCCGAUGUCAGAUUAGGUAGUGGGUGGGGUAAAGGCUCACCAAGCCAACGAUCUGUAGCUGGUCUGAGAGGACGACCAGCCACACUGGGACUGAGACACGGCCCAGACUCCUACGGGAGGCAGCAGUGGGGAAUUUUGGACAAUGGGCGAAAGCCUGAUCCAGCAAUGCCGCGUGCAGGAAGAAGGCCUUCGGGUUGUAAACUGCUUUUGUACGGAGCGAAAAGGCUCUCUCUAAUACAGGGGGCUCAUGACGGUACCGUAAGAAUAAGCACCGGCUAACUACGUGCCAGCCGCCGCAGUAA
This 493-nucleotide ribosomal RNA is filed under the name uncultured bacterium. RNAcentral's name for it is "partial 16S ribosomal RNA". It matches the Rfam family "Bacterial small subunit ribosomal RNA", at positions 29 to 523 of the family's 1533-position model. The record is from RNAcentral.